Molecule: long non-coding RNA, 2502 nt
Organism: Ochotona curzoniae (black-lipped pika)
Lineage: Eukaryota; Metazoa; Chordata; Mammalia; Lagomorpha; Ochotonidae
Exons: 2
Source: RefSeq, a predicted model, not a curated record
AUAGUGUUUUUGAGUCAAAAUUGGAAAAUGAAAAUCACACCAGAGAGCAAGCCUUUUAGCAAGAGCUUAGCACACAAGGCUGGUGGAAGAUUCCAUUUUCUAUGAAAGAAAAGCUCCAUGCUAAGGGGCAGUACUUAGACCUGAAGGACCUAGGAGAGGGUUCCCAGUCUGAAAAUAUCACAGCAGUGAUCUCUGCGCAGCAGCAGGUUCCCGAGUCCACGGCUCAGCCAUUGAACAGCUACUGAGUGAGCAGUUCCUGAGUGUGUCCAGUCAUCAGAGGCCUGGGAAAACGCAGCAUACAUGAGGGCAAAACAGUGACAUCCUUGCUUUCACCAAACGUGCAUUUUAGCCUUUCCGGUAAGAUCUGCCCUAAUCACAUUUCUAUUAGCUGAAGAGCUGGGAAAGGUUCCUGUAGUAGGUUUGAGCUAGAGUCAAACCAACCAAGUAGCUGGGCUGUGGGUUCCAUGGUGUGUGAGUGCGUGUUCAAUUCCAUUAUUUCCUGAGUCUUGGCAAGUCAUGACUGACUUAGAGUUGAGCAGAAAUGAUUUAUCCCAGAGCCUUUGGGUUGAUGGAGCUAAAACCUGCUGGAAGCUGAGAGCAGCAAAGGUGUGUGACACUGACCUUGGGAUCUGUGCAGUGCAGCCACGAGGAGAGCGAUGAAGUGGAUGUUGGUUCAGCUUUGAACAGCCUUGUGCUGAGGGAGGGGGUUCUCAUUUCUCAGCCCCUUGCUUGUCAUAUGUGGAGAUCUGCAUGUUCAAUCCUAGGUCCAGACGCUUUCUGUGAAGAAAAAGACUCAGAAGUAAUCCCAUAGGAAAUACUUUACCUGCCAUGAUAUCAAGGUGGUUCUGGGUUUUUAUUUUUGUGUUUCCCAUGAGAUGGCUAUGCUUUCUGAGUUUGCCUAGAUGCAUGCAUGAUCAUCAAGCAGUGGCCGCUUUCCUUUGUUACCACAAAGUUGACAGCAAAAACUAGGGAUGCACUUGCUUUUGCUCGCUGGCAAGUCCUGGUUUAUGGGAGCAUUCAAGGUUAUCUUGUUUAGAUAGGCUUAGUUAUAUGACCCUACAAUUUCUUUUUUAUCUUAUGUACAAAGAAUUUUCUGCCUAUGAUGUGGGAAGUGCUCUGUCGUGCUGACCCAGGGCAAGGUGACAUGUGCAUCCGUAGCCUCUAGCAUGCAAUAGCUCCAACAUGGACAAGAACCUGGGGAAAACGUGACUGCAGGUGACAAGCCUUUGCUCCACUGGUUUUACCUUUGGGAACUGCUAGACUCACAUGCCAUCCUUUAAUUGGUCUGUGAUGUAGCCUGAGCCCUGACAAUUUUGAAAAGAUGUAUUUUGUUCAAAAUAUUAAGAGAGAUUUUUCAUCUGCUGUUUUACUUUCCAGAAGGCUCUAAUGAUUUGAGUUAGGCCAUGCCAAAGUCAAGAUCCAACAGCUAUUUCUGGCUCUCCCAUGUGAGUGGCAUGGGCCCAAAUACUUGGACUGUCGUCUGCCAUGUUUCCCAGACCAUUAGCAGGAUGCUGUAUUAAAGUUGCAGAAGCUCCACUUGUCUCUCCGUUCCCCCUAGAUACAGGAGGAACAAAAAGAAAAUCCAGAAACAAUGAUCUCACCCAGUGUCCCCUAACUCUCGUUCCCUUCCACCCUGAUCAACUAUGGAAAAAUAAAUAAAUAAAUUCAGUUCAAUUAGAAAAAAAGAAAGUAGAGAAACCAGGACAUAUGCAUGGCCAUAUGGGAUGCUGUUGUACGAGGUGGCCUUACUCAUGCCAACACAGUAUUAGCCCUGUCUUGAUGUUUUCAAUAUACCCCUCAGCCAGGGUUGUGAAUAUUAGCUUUUAUUAGUGUGGCUAACUGCCUGUCACACAUAUUUCUCAGUAUUAUUAUUUUUAGAGGAACGUAGAGCUUAAUUAAGUCAUGCUUUUUGGGGGGUACCUCAAUUUGCAUGCAUUUUGUCUGAAAGAACACCGAAGAGGAAGAGCACUCUUAUUUUCUGUUAUCUCCUGCUGCCUGGUGGAUUAAACAGAACAACCAGGGCCCAGUAUAAUGACUCCGUGACUAAAUCUUGCAUGUGGCAGUAUCAUAUGUGGAUGCCGGUUUGUGUCUCAGCUGCUCCAAUUCCCAUCCAGCUCCCUGCUUGUGACCUGGGAAAGCAGUUGAGGACGGCCCAAAGCCUUGGGACCCUGCACCCACGUGGGAGACACAGAAGAUUUGGGGAGUGAACGAGGGGAUGGAAGAGCUUUCCUGCCUUUCCAAUAAAAAUAAAUAAGUCUUUAAAAAAGAGAAUAGUCAGUGCUCCCAUGUAAGUUGCAUACAGAACAAACCUCCACCCACAGCUUUUGUAAAUUGUCUGUCUAGCCAGAUUUUCACUGGCUGAUUUUCAUUUUGGGUGCUUAAAGUAUAGCUUCCCUAUUCAGAAAUAUUUUAUACAUCUGAAUGUAUGACUCCUCAUUGUUUACAUGGCUUUGCACAGUUUGUUUAUAAAAAUGUUGACUUCAAUAAAAUUGAUAAGAUUCA